This 1968-nucleotide long non-coding RNA is filed under the name Paramuricea clavata. Lineage: Eukaryota; Metazoa; Cnidaria; Anthozoa; Malacalcyonacea; Plexauridae. The record is from RNAcentral.
UAAUGCCUCAGAUUUACUAGUCAACUAGCCAAUCAGAACGCGCGAAAGCUCAUUUGAUAUGCAAAAUUUAUACUAAAAAGAAUUAUGAAUAAUGAACUCAAUCCAAUAACUGUGUUACCUUUUGGAGUUGACCACCAAGUGCUAAAGUGCCACAUGGUUCAGAUUCAAACCCAACUAUGGUCGCAUCACUGUUUAGUCUGUUAGUCACUCUUUUCAUCUGCCUUGUGCAAUUGGCCUAUUAGGAUUUGAAUCAUGUAGUCCGGCUUGGCUAAUUGACUAUUAGAUUAAUUAGUAAUAAUUAUUAGUUAGAAAUAUUAAUAUUUUAUUGCUUUAGGGAAUACUAUACAGUAACCUAGCCAGAGCUGGGGGGACCCCUCUCAGAAAAUCCCCCCCCCCCCACCGUACAUCCAGGGGCAAAACUAGCCCAUUUUAAUUAAGGGGUGUCUGCUAGGGGUGCCGGGGGGGGGGAGAUAGGUUGAAAAAAUUUUCCAGACAUAAACCAGUCAAAUUAAGGGUCAAAAAAAUUUUUCCAUACAAAUUCCUGUUAAAACAUGCUUGAAACCCUUAUUUUUUGACCAAUAUCUGUAAAAUUUGGGUCUAUAAAUCCCUGUAAGUUACUUAAUAACUCUACAUUCUAUCAUUUAAAAUCUUUGAUUGCCCUGCCAAUCCAGAUGAUUCGCCCUACCAAUCCAGAUGAUUCAUACUUUGGGGGGUGUCACCCCCCCCCCAUACCCCCCUCAAGUUUCGUCCCUGUGUACAUCUAACUUUUGUAUGCCUUGAUUAAGCCGUCCCUCCCCCUGGGUCCACAAAGUCUGAGUGCAUAUUUUUGGAAAUACAACAUUUGAAUUUUUCUUAUAUUUUACUAGAAAUUAUGCACAAUAACACAGUAAAUUUUUAGUAAAAUGUUCAAGGAAAAGGAUCUUCCAACAGCAGCAGAUGACACAGCAAAUCUUUAGUAAAAUGUUCAAGGAAAGGAUCUUCCAACAGCGGCAGAUAACACAAUAAAUCUUUACUCUGUCUAACGCUACAAUCCUGGACAAAAAGUGGCAAAAACUAGUUUAUUACUUCAAAAUAUAAUUUUAAGACAUGUUUGUCCCAAUGAUGUCCCCUUCCCCCAAUAUCAAUGUUUGGCCAAGUUAUCUGGCCUUGAAUACACCCAUCAACAUUGAUAUUAGGGGAAGGGGGGUGAAAUUCGAUGAAUUUUCUUAUUUUUUACCCUUUUGCCAAUAAUUUAUGUCCAAGAUUGUAGAUGAUUUUACUCAUCAAGUGGAGUCUUGCAACUUAAUGGGUUAAUGAAUCAGUUGGUUAUUACAACCGAUUUCAACUUGAUUCAUAUUUAACAUUCACUUUAACCCAUUUAUUGACAGCACUCUACCACUGACGAGUAAUUAAUCGUCUGGCAUUAGACAGAGUAAAUACUAUAAGUAGGUACAUUUGGGCACAUUCACAUUGCCAGUUAAUGAGUUAAUAUUGACAACAUUAAAAACAGACUAGGGUGUCAAAGGCUACGUGGAUGCUUCUUUGCCUGCAACAAAUCAAUGUUAGAUUUCAGCAAUGAAGGGAAUCAAUAUUUUAAUAAAAUAAUUGUUAUUAAUAAAAUAAUUGUUAAAAUAAUCAAUAUUUUAAUAAAAUAAUUGUUGUCAAUUAAUAAAAUAAUUGUUAGAAAUUGUUGGGUUAAUAAUUAUUGGGUUAAUAAUUAUUGAAAUAUGUUGUGCUAUAGCAGACUAUGAAGUGAUUAUGCAUAUAUAGUAUAUAAAAUGGACAUUAGAUGACUCAACCUGGCCUAGUUAGCCAGGCUUGUCUUCAGUGUCUUGGUUAGCCAAGAUCCUGACUCAUAUGAUAACCAUUUUCUAUUCUGGCAAGGCAGGCUAGCCUGCAUGGCUCAUGUAAACAGGGCCUAAGAUGAUACAUUUUAACAUCAUAUAGUAGGCAUGUGAAUAUCAUACCGGCAGAUAAUUGAAUGAAAGC